GACGAACGCUGGCGGCGUGCUUAACACAUGCAAGUCGAACGGAAAGGCCCUGCUUUUGUGGGGUGCUCGAGCGGCGAACGGGUGAGUAACACGUGAGUAACCUGCCCUUGACUUUGGGAUAACUUCAGGAAACUGGGGCUAAUACCGGAUAGGAGCUCCUGCUGCAUGGUGGGGGUUGGAAAGUUUCGGCGGUUGGGGAUGGACUCGCGGCUUAUCAGCUUGUUGGUGGGGUAGUGGCUUACCAAGGCUUUGACGGGUAGCCGGCCUGAGAGGGUGACCGGCCACAUUGGGACUGAGAUACGGCCCAGACUCCUACGGGAGGCAGCAGUGGGGAAUAUUGCACAAUGGGCGGAAGCCUGAUGCAGCAACGCCGCGUGCGGGAUGACGGCCUUCGGGUUGUAAACCGCUUUCGCCUGUGACGAAGCGUGAGUGACGGUAAUGGGUAAAGAAGCACCGGCUAACUACGUGCCAGCAGCCGCGGUGAUACGUAGGGUGCGAGCGUUGUCCGGAUUUAUUGGGCGUAGAGGGCUCGUAGGUGGUUGAUCGCGUCGGAAGUGUAAUCUUGGGGCUUAACCCUGAGCGUGCUUUCGAUACGGGUUGACUUGAGGAAGGUAGGGGAGAAUGGAAUUCCUGGUGGAGCGGUGGAAUGCGCAGAUAUCAGGAGGAACACCAGUGGCGAAGGCGGUUCUCUGGGCCUUUCCUGACGCUGAGGAGCGAAAGCGUGGGGAGCGAACAGGCUUAGAUACCCUGGUAGUCCACGCUGUAAACGGUGGGUACUAGGUGUGGGGUCCAUUCCACGGGUUCCGUGCCGUAGCUAACGCUUUAAGUACCCCGCCUGGGGAGUACGGCCGCAAGGCUAAAACUCAAAGGAAUUGACGGGGCCCCGCACAAGCGGCGGAGCAUGCGGAUUAAUUCGAUGCAACGCGUAGAACCUUACCUGGGUUUGACAUGGAUCGGGAGUGCUCAGAGAUGGGUGUGCCUCUUUUGGGGUCGGUUCACAGGUGGUGCAUGGCUGUCGUCAGCUCGUGUCGUGAGAUGUUGGGUUAAGUCCCGCAACGAGCGCAACCCUUGUUCACUGUUGCCAGCACGUUAUGGUGGGGACUCAGUGGAGACCGCCGGGGUCAACUCGGAGGAAGGUGGGGACGACGUCAAGUCAUCAUGCCCCUUAUGUCCAGGGCUUCACGCAUGCUACAAUGGCUGGUACAGAGAGUGGCGAGCCUGUGAGGGUGAGCGAAUCUCGGAAAGCCGGUCUCAGUUCGGAUUGGGGUCUGCAACUCGACCUCAUGAAGUCGGAGUCGCUAGUAAUCGCAGAUCAGCAACGCUGCGGUGAAUACGUUCCCGGG
Molecule: ribosomal RNA, 1343 nt
Filed under: uncultured bacterium
Lineage: Bacteria
Description: 16S ribosomal RNA
Rfam family: Bacterial small subunit ribosomal RNA
Source: RNAcentral